This 75-nucleotide transfer RNA is filed under the name Candidatus Woesearchaeota archaeon. RNAcentral describes it as "tRNA-Thr". It matches the Rfam family "tRNA". From Rfam's summary of the family: Transfer RNA (tRNA) molecules are approximately 80 nucleotides in length. Their secondary structure includes four short double-helical elements and three loops (D, anti-codon, and T loops). Further hydrogen bonds mediate the characteristic L-shaped molecular structure. tRNAs have two regions of fundamental functional importance: the anti-codon, which is responsible for specific mRNA codon recognition, and the 3' end, to which the tRNAs corresponding amino acid is attached (by aminoacyl-tRNA synthetases). tRNAs cope with the degeneracy of the genetic code in two manners: having more than one tRNA (with a specific anti-codon) for a particular amino acid; and 'wobble' base-pairing, i.e. permitting non-standard base-pairing at the 3rd anti-codon position. Lineage: Archaea; Nanobdellati; Candidatus Woesearchaeota. The record is from RNAcentral.
GCUCCAGUAGCUCAGUCUUGGAAGAGUGUUACCUUGGUAAGGUAAAGGUCCUGGGUUCGAUUCCCAGCUGGGGCU